CCUACGGGUGGCAGCAGUGGGGGAUAUUGCACAAUGGGGGAAACCCUGAUGCAGCGACGCCGCGUGUAGGAAGACGGUCCUCUGGAUUGUAAACUCCUUUUGUUAGAGAAGAUAAUGACGGUAUCUAACGAAUAAGCACCGGCUAACUCCGUGCCAGCAGCCGCGGUAAUACGGAGGGUGCAAGCGUUACUCGGAAUCACUGGGCGUAAAGAGCGCGUAGGCGGGAUAGCAAGUCAGAUGUGAAAUCCUAUGGCUUAACCAUAGAACUGCAUUUGAAACUGUUAUUCUAGAGUAUGGGAGAGGUAGGUGGAAUUCUUGGUGUAGGUGUAAAAUCCGUAGAGAUCAAGAGGAAUACUCAUUGCGAAGGCGACCUGCUAGAACAUAACUGACGCUGAUGCGCGAAAGCGUGGGGAGCAAACAGGAUUAGAUACCCGGGUAGUC
This 441-nucleotide ribosomal RNA is filed under the name uncultured bacterium. RNAcentral's name for it is "partial 16S ribosomal RNA". It matches the Rfam family "Bacterial small subunit ribosomal RNA", at positions 338 to 795 of the family's 1533-position model. The record is from RNAcentral.